CUUUUGCGCUUAAGAGGUAUUUUAAUUCAACAUCGAGGUCAUAAUCUCACUUGUCAAUUAGAACUUUCUAAGUGAAUUAAGCUGUUAUCCCUAAAGUAACUUAUUCUUUUUUUAAAAUUUUUAGAUAUAAAAACAUAUGUUUUAUUCAGAGAAGAAAAGAUAGAUUUUUCCUACCGCCCCAGUAAAAUAUUUAUUUAUUUCUCCUAAAAUAAAAAAUAUAAAGUUUUAUAGGGUCUUCUUGUCUUUAAGAAAAAUUUUAGCCUUCUUACUAAAAAGUUAAUUUCAUUUUUUUAUUCCUGAAAAUUUUCUUCCAGUUUACUCUUUCAUUCCAGUCUCU
This 337-nucleotide ribosomal RNA is filed under the name Mesobuthus gibbosus (Mediterranean checkered scorpion). RNAcentral describes it as "partial 16S ribosomal RNA". Lineage: Eukaryota; Metazoa; Arthropoda; Arachnida; Scorpiones; Buthidae. The record is from RNAcentral.